This 370-nucleotide ribosomal RNA is filed under the name uncultured bacterium. RNAcentral describes it as "partial 16S ribosomal RNA". It matches the Rfam family "Bacterial small subunit ribosomal RNA", at positions 355 to 740 of the family's 1533-position model. The record is from RNAcentral.
UGGGGAAUCUUAGACAAUGGGGGCAAGCCCUGAUCUAGCCAUGCCGCGUGAGUGAUGAAGGCCUUAGGGUUGUAAAGCUCUUUCAGCUGGGAAGAUAAUGACGGUACCAGCAGAAGAAGCCCGGCUAACUCCGUGCCAGCAGCCGCGGUAACUACGGAGGGGGCUANCGUUGUUCGGAAUUACUGGGCGUAAAGCGCACGUAGGCGGACUGGAAAGUCAGAGGUGAAAUCCCAGGGCUCAACCUUGGAACUGCCUUUGAAACUAAUCAGUCUGGAGUUCGAGAGAGGUGAGUGGAAUUCCGAGUGUAGAGGUGAAAUUCGUAGAUAUUCGGAGGAACACCAGUGGCGAAGGCGGCUCACUGGCUCGAUAC